RNAcentral lists this ribosomal RNA (253 nucleotides) under uncultured bacterium. RNAcentral describes it as "partial 16S ribosomal RNA". It matches the Rfam family "Bacterial small subunit ribosomal RNA", at positions 524 to 776 of the family's 1533-position model. The record is from RNAcentral.
UACGUAGGGAGCAAGCGUUGUCCGGAAUCAUUGGGCGUAAAGCGCGCGUAGGUGGCUUCGUAAGUCCGUUGUGAAAGUCAAAGGCUCAACCUUUGAAAGCCGGUGGAUACUGUCGGGCUAGAGUCCGGAAGAGGCGAGUGGAAUUCCUGGUGUAGCGGUGGAAUGCGCAGAUAUCAGGAGGAACACCGAUGGCGAAGGCAGCUCGCUGGGACGGUACUGACGCUGAGGCGCGAAAGCGUGGGGAGCGAACAGG